GUGGCAAAAGGGUCUACUCGGGAGAAUCAUUUCAGGGGUCUUUUGCAAAAUAUUCAGUUAAUCUUUGAUACUUCAAUAGAGGAUGUUCUGCGUAAGAAAGGAUGCCAGAGAAGCCAGUCAA
Molecule: non-coding RNA, 121 nt
Organism: Lonchura striata (white-rumped munia)
Lineage: Eukaryota; Metazoa; Chordata; Aves; Passeriformes; Estrildidae
Source: RefSeq, a predicted model, not a curated record